Molecule: small nucleolar RNA, 203 nt
Organism: Jaculus jaculus (lesser Egyptian jerboa)
Lineage: Eukaryota; Metazoa; Chordata; Mammalia; Rodentia; Dipodidae
Gene: SNORA73
Rfam family: Small nucleolar RNA SNORA73 family
About the family: U17 (SNORA73A and SNORA73B) also known as E1 belongs to the H/ACA class of small nucleolar RNAs (snoRNAs). Vertebrate U17 is intron-encoded and ranges in length from 200-230 nucleotides, longer than most snoRNAs. It is one of the most abundant snoRNAs in human cells and is essential for the cleavage of pre-rRNA within the 5' external transcribed spacer (ETS).
Source: Ensembl
GCAACAUAGAUAUCCCUGGAGGUCACUCUCCCAGGAGUUCUGUCCAGGUGAGGCGGGGCCGCGUAGGGCUCUGCUCCAUGGUGUACAGUCCCUUUCUACAGGACUGGGGAUGACUCUGUGCCUUGAGUCUGCACCUGCAUCUUUCUAUAGCUUCUCACAGCCUGUGGACAAUGCUGACGAGACCAAUUAUGCAAGAAACAAUA